AUGGGGGGAAGAACCAACCGGGAUUGCCUCAGUAACGGCGAGUGAAGCGGCAAGAGCUCAAAUUUGAAAUCUGGCCCCCCUGGGGGUCCGAGUUGUAAUUUGGAGAGGAUGCUUCGGGUACGGUGCCCAUCUAAGUGCCCUGGAACGGGCGGUCAUAGAGGGUGAGAAUCCCGUAUGGGAUGGGCGGCCGUGCCCGUGUGAAGCUCCUUCGACGAGUCGAGUUGUUUGGGAAUGCAGCUCUAAUCGGGUGCCAAAUUUCAUCUAAAGCUAGGUUCGGCGGGGCGACCGGGACGCCACUAGUAUCGUUCCCCAGGGGG
This 317-nucleotide ribosomal RNA is filed under the name Talaromyces minioluteus. Its description in RNAcentral is "partial large subunit ribosomal RNA". It matches the Rfam family "Eukaryotic large subunit ribosomal RNA", at positions 46 to 358 of the family's 3401-position model. The record is from RNAcentral. Lineage: Eukaryota; Fungi; Ascomycota; Eurotiomycetes; Eurotiales; Trichocomaceae.